This 356-nucleotide ribosomal RNA is filed under the name Scomberomorus commerson (narrow-barred Spanish mackerel). Its description in RNAcentral is "partial 12S ribosomal RNA". It matches the Rfam family "Bacterial small subunit ribosomal RNA", at positions 801 to 1360 of the family's 1533-position model. Lineage: Eukaryota; Metazoa; Chordata; Actinopteri; Scombriformes; Scombridae. The record is from RNAcentral.
AAACAUUGAUAGAACUAUACACCCUCUAUCCGCCUGGGUACUACGAGCAUUAGCUUAAAACCCAAAGGACUUGGCGGUACUUUAGAUCCCCCUAGAGGAGCCUGUUCUGUAACCGAUAACCCCCGUUAAACCUCACCCUCCCUUGUUUUUCCCGCCUAUAUACCGCCGUCGUAAGCUUACCCUGUGAAGGCCUAAUAGUAAGCAAAAUUGGCACUGCCCAGAACGUCAGGUCGAGGUGUAGCAUAUGAGAGGGGAAGAAAUGGGCUACAUUCGCUAAAUAUAGCGAACACGAAUGAUAGUGCUGAAAACGUACAUCUGAAGGAGGAUUUAGCAGUAAGUGGAAAAUAGAGUGUUCC